CAGCUUUCCAUUUCAGGCUCCUGAAAAGCACACAAAAAGAGCUGAAUUCAGAAACCAAGCAGCAUGAAGUCACCCUCAGCAGACCUGUUUUAUUUAUUCCACCGGAGUGGCAACAAACACAAACUCCCCCUGUGCUGGAGGUGGGUCAGGCUUAGCACAAAAGCCCAAUUUUAGGCAAAGCUCUGCGAGUUCGGUGCCUUGGCUUUGCUGUUGUAAACCAUCUGCUCAGCUUCACUCCCAAACACCGGCGCUGGGAAUCAAUCACGGGGUUCCUUUCGGUUGAUCCCUGUUUUGCUCCACUUCUCCGCUUUUAAGACUCCACGGCCGCGGGCUCAGAAGUGCGUGCCAAGAACGGCAUCACAUCGAUAGCAGCGAAACCCUGGCAAAAACUGGAGCUGGCCCUCGAAAUCCAUUAGUGCCCUCGGAAAUCGGGGGGCCGGGAGCGUGGCGGUGGAAAAGUCCAUCUUUUGGAACUCGGCUCUCCAGCCCCACAUCCAGGAUUUCCUUGGGGAAGGACUGGCCCAGCCCAAGCAUUUCGGGGGAGCCUGGCAAGGAAGACACUCAAAUUUACCAGAAUUCCCAAAUGUUUGAAAUGCACGUCCAAAACCGAGGAUUUCCUGUGGAAAAGAACAUUCUGGUGCCAUUUCUUUUGAGACUGUUUUACAAACAUUUCUGCUGUGAGACACAGGACACCUCAAAAAUGAGAAAAGAAGGAAGACAAUUCAUGCUUGGACUGAUCCACACAAAUCCCUGUGGAGACCCUGGAAACCCAAACCUGGCGUGAGUUGUCAGCCUCAGAGCAGGAUGGAAGAAGAUGUCAAGCAAACCUCAGCUGUACCAGAGGGGAGGGAUCAGGAAGUUGUUGGAAAAUCAAUUAAAUUAAAAAACUCCAAAAAAUCAGCUCUGUGUUGGUCAAUGAACAGCAAGUGAAUGGAACUGGGACAUGUGGGAGUGAGGGGGAAAAUGCAGUGAAAAAAAAAAUAAAUGGGAGAUGUGAAGAUAAGAAAUGAAAUCC
This is a long non-coding RNA of Zonotrichia albicollis (white-throated sparrow), 1015 nucleotides long. Lineage: Eukaryota; Metazoa; Chordata; Aves; Passeriformes; Passerellidae. The record is from Ensembl.